Non-coding RNA from Vigna umbellata (rice bean), 1793 nucleotides. The record is from RefSeq and is a predicted model, not a curated record. Lineage: Eukaryota; Viridiplantae; Streptophyta; Magnoliopsida; Fabales; Fabaceae.
UGUGGGGUUGAGUUAAACUUAAAGUUUACUUCUUAAUAUGGCACCAAAGUUAGGUUAGAACCUAUCCUAGCGAGAUUUGUUGUUUGUUGGACAUGUUCCACCUGUUAUUGGACCACCCAUUAAUCUCUAGUUUCACGCUUGAGAUGUAUAUACCUCAGCAUGAAGGGGUGUAUUGGAAGUUUCACGUCAACUAGAGAUAAACCAAUUUAUAAUAUCAAUUUAGAUGGUAUCUAGAGCCUAAAGUUCUUUUUGAGAUAUGAGUGAAUUUUGUGGAUUUUGAAUUAGUCAAAUAGUUGAGAGAGAAUUAAAAGAAUUAUGUAGAGAAAGAAAAAAAAGGUGUUUAUUAUGAAACUAAGAACCAAAGAAAACAUUGAAUAUAAGGUUUUUAGGCUACUUAAUAAAUUAUAGUUGUUUUAGUAAUUUAGAAUGGGGAUCACUAUGAGGAUGAGGACGUGGAGGAUAUGUGCAUAUGCAUCCCUAUCUGUGUACUCAAUUUAAAAACUUUGGUAUUAAUCAUACCUAUAUAUCCAGUCUAUACAUAGAAAUUUCUUGUCAAAAUUGGGUCGGGUUCGGAGAAUGGCAUAGAGCUGAGUUUUUUUUCCAUGCCUAAUAGCAAUACAUCACAAUACUCGAUAAAUAUUAUUCGGUAUCCUUUCUCUCAAUUUCAUCCUUCAAUUCCUAAAGUCCUUUAAGUAUUUUCUUGAGCAUUUUAGGCUGUUACAAUGCUCAUUCAAUGAGUUCAUAGUUCCGGUACUUGUCUUUUUUCUUUAAUAAUUAAAUAAUUUGGCUACUAAGGACUGAGUUCCCUUUCUCAUUUGUAAAUAUAUGUACAAUGAUGUUUGUGAUUUGACUCGCUGGUUAUUUGCACUACGAGCAAUGCAGGAAGUCGUUAAUUAGAGAGGCGCAGCUAGCUUUCAACUCAAAGAUUCCCGAGUCAUUGAGAAAGGAUUUGAUUGAACGACUCAAACCUUUAUCCAAGAAAACAAUACAAUUUUAAGGACCUUGAUCUGAGCAUGCGUAGGAGCAUGUUGAUCUUGUCUUGAUAGUGAGGCGUGGUGUGUAUACUCUGUAUUACUAAUUAUUGUAGUGAUGGCGUUACCCUUACUAGGAUACUAGUUUGGGUUUGUGACAUACUAACUCUUUGAGCUAGUGCUGGCGGUAGGAGGAGGAGAAUAUGGAAACUUGUUAUCAUCGAAGUUUGGCUUUGUUAUGCUUCUAGUUUCAUGCAUAUUUGAGCUAGAAGUCCAGAUUUCAUGUCUUGCCACAAGUUUUCAUUCUCUAUGUAGGCUAUGAAGUUGUAUUGAAUCUUGAGGAGAGCAUGCCAGGAAUUCUAUUCAUUCUGUACAAUCUACUUUAGUCAUGUGUACUGGAGCAAAAUCUUAAUUUUCUAUAAAAUUGCUCAAAAAAUUUUGCACCGAAAAAGUGGCUGUGCAUGACUUAUGAUACACGCGUUAUCCAAUGACUUCUAUAUCGAUAUUUUCCGUUGAAAAAGCAUAACUCUCAAUUUUUAGAUUUGUGAUUCAGUUUUUGAUGGCCAUCAGCGACUAAGUAACUUGGUUAAAAAAUCAAGAAACUGUAGAAUGUCUUAGAAGCUGCAAAUAUUUUAGUCGAUAAAAGAAGUCUCCACUCAAAUAUUCAAACUCAUCUGUAAGUUGUGCGGCUAAAUGAUACAACUGUGGCUGAAGAAAAUGAAGAUAAAAAGAUAACCAGUCCACUGAAGCGACACUCCUGUAUAUUUUGGUAAGAUUUUUGCUUCCUGCACCCCAUGAUUACUAGCUGGACAUCCAUGUUAU